This is a long non-coding RNA of Tupaia belangeri chinensis (Chinese tree shrew), 323 nucleotides long. RefSeq lists it as uncharacterized. Lineage: Eukaryota; Metazoa; Chordata; Mammalia; Scandentia; Tupaiidae. The record is from RefSeq and is a predicted model, not a curated record. The transcript has 3 exons.
ACCUCAUCGCCGAGGUCGGGGCGGCCGCCGCGUUGGGCGUCAAGGGGGCCCUGGAGGGCCUCUCCGGACCGCCUCCGCCGGUGAAGGUGUUUGGUGACCAAUAAAUCUGCCUGGUUGAACUGGUGGAAUCGAAUUAGUAAUUGUCCUGGGAACGCCUGCAGAAGAAGAUGGUGGUGGCAAAAUUGAUUUAAUUGAAGCAGGGGCUUUUAAAAAUCUUGAUGUUGUUUUUAUGGCCCAUCCAUCCCAAGAGAAUGCUGCCUAUCUACCGGAUGUGGCUGAACAUGAGUAAGUAAUUGAGUUUAAGAUAAACUUCUUAGUAGAAA